This is a non-coding RNA of Macaca mulatta (Rhesus monkey), 593 nucleotides long. Lineage: Eukaryota; Metazoa; Chordata; Mammalia; Primates; Cercopithecidae. The record is from RefSeq and is a predicted model, not a curated record.
ACUCCAGCAGAUGUGUUAGACACCUCAUUACAGUCUCUCAACGGUAGAGAAAUGGCUCCUACUUGGACUUUGCUGUCACAGGUCCCAUCUAGAUUGAAGAUGUGUUGAAGACAGUCGGAGCUUUCAUCUUUGCGUGCAUCUCAGCCUUCAGCACAGAGCUCAGGCCAGCCCAAGCCUUCCCAGAGUGGACAGCUCAGCUAAGAGGAGUUUGGUUGGGUGAUGUCAGACUCCACAUCACACUCCCGUGGAACCUUUGCUCCUCUAAAUCCCAGGCCUGUUCUACCACUAAGCUCACUUAUAUGUUUGUUUUGUUUUUGGCCAUUAGGCAUAGCAGGGCUGCUAUUGGGCAGCUACUUUAGAGUCCUUUAGUAUUUCUGGGCAGUUAAGAAGCUCCCUAAACAUGCUCAAGGAAUUCCAAGAAUUUCUUGAAGAAAGUGUUGCCUCAUUUCACAACACUGACCUAGCCAGCUGUGUGUGGGAGUUGGUGGGAGGUUAGGAUAGGAGGCACAUUUUUUAUUCAAGUGUGAGAAAACUAAUAAAAUUCUCUUUAAAAAUGUAAACAUAUAUAUUAAUGCCUAGAAUGGCUACUUGGG